AUUGAACGCUGGCGGCAUGCUUUACACAUGCAAGUCGAACGGCAGCGCGGGCUUCGGCCUUGCGGCGAGUGGCGAACGGGUGAGUAAUACAUCGGAACGUGCCCAGUAGUGGGGGAUAGCUCGGCGAAAGCCGGAUUAAUACCGCAUACGACCUGAGGGUGAAAGCGGGGGAUCUUCGGACCUCGCGCUAUUGGAGCGGCCGAUGGCAGAUUAGCUAGUUGGUGGGGUAAAGGCCUACCAAGGCGACGAUCUGUAGCUGGUCUGAGAGGACGACCAGCCACACUGGGACUGAGACACGGCCCAGACUCCUACGGGAGGCAGCAGUGGGGAAUUUUGGACAAAGGGCGAAAGCGUGAUCCAGCAAUGCCGCGUGUGUGAUGAAGGCCUUCGGGUUGUAAAGCACUUUUGGCGGGAACGAAAAGGACUGUGCCAAUACCACGGUUCGAUGACGGUACCCGCAGAAUAAGCACCGGCUAAAUACGUG
This 484-nucleotide ribosomal RNA is filed under the name uncultured bacterium. RNAcentral describes it as "partial 16S ribosomal RNA". It matches the Rfam family "Bacterial small subunit ribosomal RNA", at positions 29 to 507 of the family's 1533-position model. The record is from RNAcentral.